UGGGGAAUUUUGGACAAUGGGCGCAAGCCUGAUCCAGCCAUGCCGCGUGCGGGAAGAAGGCCUCGGGUUGUAAACCGCUUUGUCAGGGAAGAAAUCUUCUGAGUUAAUACCUCGGGAGGAUGACGGUACCUGAAGAAUAAGCACCGGCUAACUACGUGCCAGCAGCCGCGGUAAUACGUAGGGUGCAAGCGUUAAUCGGAAUUACUGGGCGUAAAGCGUGCGCAGGCGGUUUUGUAAGACAGAGGUGAAAUCCCCGGGCUCAACCUGGGAACUGCCUUCGUGACUGCAAGGCUUGAGUGCGGCAGAGGGGGGAUGGAAUUCCGCGUGUAGCAGUGAAAUGCGUAGAUAUGCGGAGGAACACCGAUGGCGAAGGCCAAAUCCCCCUGGGGCCUGCACUGACGCUCAUGCACGAAAGCGUGGGGAGCAAAACAGGAUUAGAUACCCCUGGUAGUCCNCGCCCUAAAACGAUGUCAACUGGUUGUU
This 483-nucleotide ribosomal RNA is filed under the name uncultured bacterium. RNAcentral describes it as "partial 16S ribosomal RNA". It matches the Rfam family "Bacterial small subunit ribosomal RNA", at positions 355 to 824 of the family's 1533-position model. The record is from RNAcentral.